GGUGGGAGGCUUUGAAGCGUGGACGCCAGUCUGCGUGGAGCCGACCUUGAAAUACCACCCUUUAAUGUUUGAUGUUCUAACGUGGACCCGUUACCCGGGUUGCGGACAGUGUCUGGUGGGUAGUUUGACUGGGGCGGUCUCCUCCUAAAGAGUAACGGAGGAGCACGAAGGUUGGCUAAUCCUGGUCGGACAUCAGGAGGUUAGUGCAAUGGCAUAAGCCAGCUUGACUGCGAGCGUGACGGCGCGAGCAGGUGCGAAAGCAGGUCAUAGUGAUCCGGUGGUUCUGAAUGGAAGGGCCAUCGCUCAACGGAUAAAAGGUACUCCGGGGAUAACAGGCUGAUACCGCCCAAGAGUUCAUAUCGACGGCGGUGUUUGGCACCUCGAUGUCGGCUCAUCACAUCCUGGGGCUGAAGUAGGUCCCAAGGGUAUGGCUGUUCGCCAUUUAAAGUGGUACGCGAGCUGGGUUUAGAACGUCGUGAGACAGUUCGGUCCCUAUCUGCCGUGGGCGCUGGAGAACUGAGGGGGGCUGCUCCUAGUACGAGAGGACCGGAGUGGACGCAUCACUGGUGUUCGGGUUGUCAUGCCAAUGGCACUGCCCGGUAGCUAAAUGCGGAAGAGAUAAGUGCUGAAAGCAUCUAAGCACGAAACUUGCCCCGAGAUGAGUUCUCCCUGAGACUUUAGGUCUCCUGAAGGAACGUUGAAGACGACGACGUUGAUAGGCCGGGUGUGUAAGCGCAGCGAUGCGUUGAGCUAACCGGUACUAAUGAACCGUGAGGCUUAACCUUACAACGCCGAAG
RNAcentral lists this ribosomal RNA (797 nucleotides) under Salmonella enterica subsp. enterica serovar Braenderup. Its description in RNAcentral is "partial 23S ribosomal RNA". It matches the Rfam family "Bacterial large subunit ribosomal RNA", at positions 2146 to 2925 of the family's 2925-position model. Lineage: Bacteria; Pseudomonadati; Pseudomonadota; Gammaproteobacteria; Enterobacterales; Enterobacteriaceae. The record is from RNAcentral.